AAAUCUCUUACUUUGAACUGCCGCGGGGUCAUUAUAUCGGUUAUAAUUUAUUUGAUAGUCCCUUACUACUUGGAUAACCGUAGUAAUUCUAGAGCUAAUACAUGCGUCAAUACCCUUGUGGGGUAGUAUUUAUUAGAUUGAAACCAACCCCUUCGGGGUGAUGUGGUGAUUCAUAAUAAGCUUGCGGAUCGCAUGGCUUCUGCCGGCGAUGGAUCAUUCAAGUUUCUGCCCUAUCAGCUUUGGAUGGUAGGGUAUUGGCCUACCAUGGCUUCAACGGGUAACGGGGAAUGGGGCGGGGGCGGCGGGCCGGGCGCGGGGCGCGGCGGGCGA
This 330-nucleotide ribosomal RNA is filed under the name uncultured eukaryote. Its description in RNAcentral is "bacterial SSU rRNA". It matches the Rfam family "Eukaryotic small subunit ribosomal RNA", at positions 69 to 374 of the family's 1831-position model. The record is from RNAcentral.